RNAcentral lists this long non-coding RNA (358 nucleotides) under Homo sapiens (human). Its description in RNAcentral is "HSALNT0323957". Lineage: Eukaryota; Metazoa; Chordata; Mammalia; Primates; Hominidae. The record is from RNAcentral.
AUCAAACCUAAGAAAUUAAAAUUGAUACAGCAAAUAUUAUCUAGUAUACAGCUGAUUAUGGUUUGGAUUUGUGUCCCCGCCCAUAUCUGAUGUUGAAUUGUAAUUUCCAGGAGCUGGGGCCUGGCAGGAGGUGACUGGAUCAUGGGGGCGCGUUUCCUCUGAGUACUGUUCUGGUGAUAGUGAGUGAGCUGUCGUCAUGAGAUCUGGUCGUGUAAAGCUGUCACAUCUACCUGCGGAAUUCACCUUAUACCUUAGAGAGAGGCUGCAGUCAGUGACAGCUGAUGGGAAAUGCAUCUGUUCCUUUGAGUAAUUCAGCAACAUCAUUACUUCUCAGUUAAAAAAGAAAAGCAGACCGGCG